Molecule: long non-coding RNA, 743 nt
Filed under: Mytilus galloprovincialis (Mediterranean mussel)
Lineage: Eukaryota; Metazoa; Mollusca; Bivalvia; Mytilida; Mytilidae
Source: RNAcentral
AGGUUAUUUUUACUGCCCUUGAAAUGAGCAAAAGUCACAUACAUGCUAUAAAACAAUUGGAGGGAGAAGACCUUAACCAAGUUCUUGGUAAUGAUAAUGUUGUUGAAACCUCUUCUAUAUCCUACACUAGACCGUAUAACAUAUUGAAAGCAGCAGACAGAUCUGAAAUGUACGAGCCAUUACUACGGUUAGCAUGUUAUCAACAUCAAAUCACAUGAUAGUCACAUGAUUAUCUAUACAUUGACUGAGAUUUGGUACAUGUAAAAUUCAUAAAGGGAUUACAUGGAUAACAAGACUGUCUGUACUUUGCCUGAGAUUUCGGACAUGUAUAAGUCAUGAAGGGAUAACAUAACUGUCUGUACCUUGCUUGAAAAUUUUGAAAUGUAAAAGUCAUGAAGAGUCAUUUCUUAGCUGUAACAGUUGAAGGCAUGGUAAGGGAGAAAAUAAGCUUUAAUGAACUUUUAUUAAUGAAGUCUGAUUAAAAAGGAGAUGAAAUGCUGUUAUAUAUAAUUAACUUUUAAAGAAGGAUCGCUUUAAAAGCCUGCAUUUUGAAUAUGCUUUUUGUCCUGGAGAGAAGGAUUUUUUUUGCUUUAUAGAACAUUUCUUAGGAACAUUUCAGAGCAUAGAAAUAUAGCUAGAAGUAAAAAAAAUACUGUUUAUUUAAGAUAUAUAUAAACAAUGUAAUUAAUGUCUUUUUAGUCUGGCCUCUGAUAAAAGUGGCAAAAUAUGAGACAUUGAAAUUA